GGUUGAAAUCCCCCACUAUUAUUGUGUUGCUAUCUAUCCUUGCUUUAGGUCUAGCAAUGUUUGUUUUAUGAGUAUGAGUGUUCCAGUGUUGGCAAAUGGAGCUUCCUGAGGGGUGAACUACAGUGGCUGCUGUUUCUCUUCUGAAUCUAGACACCCUGCAGAGCUACUGGACUCCUGGCUGGUAUUGGGGAGUGUCUUCUAAGAGUCCUGUGAUGUGAUUUGUCUUCAGGUCUCUUCUGAGCCAUGGAUACCAGCACCUGCUCUGGUGGAGACAGCAGGGGAGUGAAGUGGACUCUGCGAAGGUUCUUGGAUGUAUUUUUGUUAACUGCGCUGGUUUUGUGUUGGUUGACCUCCAGCCAGGAGGUGGCGAUUUCAAGAGCACAUCAGUUGCAGUAGUAUAGGGAGGGUCAGGCAGUGGGCAAGGCCAUAGAGCUCCCAAGAGAUUAUGUUGUUUAUCUUCAGCUACCAGGGCAGGUAGAGAAAACCAUCAGGUGGGGGCGGGGUUAGGCUUAUCUGAGCUCAGACUCUCCUUGAGGAGGGCUUGUUGAGGCUGCUGUGGGAGAAAAGGGUGUAGUUCCCAGGCCAGUGGAGCUAUGUCCCCAGGGGUAUUAGGGCUGCCUCUGCUGUGUCACACGGGUAACCAGGGAAGGGAGAUAAAGCUGGCAGCCGUAGGCCUUAUCCAGCUCCCAUGCAGCCCAUAGCCCAAAAGAUUGGUCUCACUCCCACUGUGCCCCCCUCAACAGCAGCAAGUUCACUUCCAGGCAGCCGUUGAGCAGCGCUGAAAAAUUGUUCCCAGCUACAUGCCUCCCAGCUGAGAAAACAAGCCGACUCACCGUUCCUCUGUUGUCCCACAGAGCCUGCAGUGGCAAUCCACCACCUUCAAAGGGUUUGUGUGGUCACAGCUUUCUGGUAUGUUCCUGUGGUUGUUGGUGCAAAAGUUCACGAUGUGGGUGCCUACACACUGUCGUCUGAGUCAGAGCUGAAAGUUAGUCCUGCCUCCUGUCCGCCAUUUUCCUGCACUGUCCCAUAUUAACUUUUAUGGAAGCAGUCUUCCUAUAGUCCUUUUUAGCCAAUUCAGGUAAAAC
RNAcentral lists this long non-coding RNA (1085 nucleotides) under Homo sapiens (human). RNAcentral describes it as "HSALNT0077819". The record is from RNAcentral. Lineage: Eukaryota; Metazoa; Chordata; Mammalia; Primates; Hominidae.